CGCGCAGGCGGUCUUGUCCGUCAGGUGUGAAAGCUCGGGGCUCAACCCCGGAAGUGCACUUGAAACAGCAAGACUCGAAUACGGGAGAGGAGAGAGGAAUUCCUGGUGUAGAGGUGAAAUUCGUAGAUAUCAGGAGGAACACCGAUGGCGAAGGCAUCUCUCUGGACCGAUAUUGACGCUGAGGCGCGAAGGCGUGGGUAGCGAACG
Molecule: ribosomal RNA, 207 nt
Filed under: uncultured bacterium
Lineage: Bacteria
Description: partial 16S ribosomal RNA
Rfam family: Bacterial small subunit ribosomal RNA
Source: RNAcentral